GUACCAAGCAGCUGUGCACACGUUCCUGGAGCAGCUUGCACACAGCUCGCAGGAUCCAGGAUGGACAAAAAGGACCCUGUCCUUCAAAUAUUGGGGAUCUGUUCUCUGAUCACUGAUUGGUGCUUCUGAUCAGAGAGUACAAACAAACAGG
Molecule: non-coding RNA, 151 nt
Organism: Ceratotherium simum simum (southern white rhinoceros)
Lineage: Eukaryota; Metazoa; Chordata; Mammalia; Perissodactyla; Rhinocerotidae
Source: RefSeq, a predicted model, not a curated record